AGUCGANCGGGAAUCUUCGGAUUCUAGUGGCGGACGGGUGAGUAACGCGUAAGAAUCUAACUUCAGGACGGGGACAACAGUUGGAAACGACUGCUAACACCCGAUGUGCCGAAAGGUGAAACCUAAUUGGCCUGAAGAAGAGCUUGCGUCUGAUUAGCUAGUUGGUGGGGUAAGAGCCUACCAAGGCGACGAUCAGUAGCUGGUCUGAGAGGAUGAGCAGCCACACUGGGACUGAGACACGGCCCAGACUCCUACGGGAGGCAGCAGUGGGGAAUUUUCCGCAAUGGGCGAAAGCCUGACGGAGCAACGCCGCGUGAGGGAGGAAGGUCUUUGGAUUGUAAACCUCUUUUCUCAAGGAAGAAGUUCUGACGGUACUUGAGGAAUCAGCCUCGGCUAACUCCGUGCCAGCAGCCGCGGUAAUACGGGGGAGGCAAGCGUUAUCCGGAAUUAUUGGGCGUAAAGCGUCCGCAGGUGGUCAGCCAAGUCUGCCGUCAAAUCAGGUUGCUUAACGACCUAAAGGCGGUGGAAACUGGCAGACUAGAGAGCAGUAGGGGUAGCAGGAAUUCCCAGUGUAGCGGUGAAAUGCGUAGGGAUUGGGAAGAACAUCGGUGGCGAAAGCGUG
This 622-nucleotide ribosomal RNA is filed under the name uncultured bacterium. RNAcentral describes it as "bacterial SSU rRNA". It matches the Rfam family "Bacterial small subunit ribosomal RNA", at positions 60 to 725 of the family's 1533-position model. The record is from RNAcentral.